AACGAACGCUGGCGGCAUGCCUAACGCAUGCAAGUCGAACGAGAUCUUCGGGUCUAGUGGCGCACGGGUGCGUAACGCGUGGGAAUCUGCCCUUUGGUUCGGAAUAACAGUUGGAAACGACUGCUAAUACCGGAUGAUGACGAAAGUCCAAAGAUUUAUCGCCAGAGGAUGAGCCCGCGUAGGAGUAGCUAGUUGGUGUGGUAAAGGCGCACCAAGGCGACGAUCCUUAGCUGGUCUGAGAGGAUGAUCAGCCACACUGGGACUGAGACACGGCCCAGACUCCUACGGGAGGCAGCAGUGGGGAAUAUUGGACAAUGGGCGAAAGCCUGAUCCAGCAAUGCCGCGUGAGUGAUGAAGGCCUUAGGGUUGUAAAGCUCUUUUACCCGGGAUGAUAAUGACAGUACCGGGAGAAUAAGCUCCGGCUAACUCCGUGCCAGCAGCCGCAGUAA
Molecule: ribosomal RNA, 449 nt
Filed under: uncultured bacterium
Lineage: Bacteria
Description: partial 16S ribosomal RNA
Rfam family: Bacterial small subunit ribosomal RNA
Source: RNAcentral